AUUGAACGCUGGCGGAAUGCUUUACACAUGCAAGUCGAACGGCAGCACGGACUUCGGUCUGGUGGCGAGUGGCGAACAGGUGAGUAACAUAUCGGAACGUAUCCAAUAAUGGGGGAUAACUAAUCGAAAGGUUGGCUAAUACCGCAUACGCCCUACGGGGGAAAGCAGGGGAUCUUCGGACCUUGCGUUAAUGGAGCGGCUGAUAUCUGAUUAGCUAGUUGGUGAGGUAAAGGCUCACCAAGGCGACGAUCAGUAGCUGGUCUGAGAGGACGACCAGCCACACUGGAACUGAGACGCGGUCCAGACUCCUACGGGAGGCAGCAGUGGGGAAUUUUGGACAAUGGGCGCAAGCCUGAUCCAGCCAUUCCGCGUGAGUGAAGAAGGCCUUCGGGUUGUAAAGCUCUUUCGCAAGGGAAGAAAACUUACUUUCAAAAAAGAGUGAGGUUGACGGUACCUUGAUAAGAAGCACCGGCUAACUACGUGCCAGCCGCCGCCGUAA
Molecule: ribosomal RNA, 499 nt
Filed under: uncultured bacterium
Lineage: Bacteria
Description: partial 16S ribosomal RNA
Rfam family: Bacterial small subunit ribosomal RNA
Source: RNAcentral